RNAcentral lists this ribosomal RNA (253 nucleotides) under uncultured bacterium. Its description in RNAcentral is "partial 16S ribosomal RNA". It matches the Rfam family "Bacterial small subunit ribosomal RNA", at positions 75 to 334 of the family's 1533-position model. The record is from RNAcentral.
CAACCAAAGCUGGCGACCGGCGCACGGGUGAGUAACACGUAUCCAACCUGCCUCAUACUCGGGGAUAGCCUUUCGAAAGAAAGAUUAAUAUCCGACAGCAUAUAUUUCCCGCAUGGGUUUUAUAUUAAAGAAAUUCGGUAUGAGAUGGGGAUGCGUUCCAUUAGUUUGUUGGGGGGUAACGGCCCACCAAGACUACGAUGGAUAGGGGUUCUGAGAGGAAGGUCCCCCACAUUGGAACUGAGACACGGUCCAA